This 253-nucleotide ribosomal RNA is filed under the name uncultured bacterium. RNAcentral describes it as "partial 16S ribosomal RNA". It matches the Rfam family "Bacterial small subunit ribosomal RNA", at positions 524 to 776 of the family's 1533-position model. The record is from RNAcentral.
UACGGGGGGGGCAAGCGUUGUUCGGAAUUACUGGGCGUAAAGCGCACGUAGGCGGACUGUUAAGUCGGGGGUGAAAUCCUGGGGCUCAACCUCAGAAUUGCCUCCGAUACUGGCAGUCUCGGAUGCGGGAGAGGUGAGUGGAAUUCCCAGUGUAGAGGUGAAAUUCGUAGAUAUUGGGAAGAACACCAGUGGCGAAGGCGGCUCACUGGCCCGUAACUGACGCUGAGGUGCGAAAGCGUGGGGAGCAAACAGG